UUGCCAGCCCGCUCAGAAACUUAAAGGAAUUGACGGGGGCCCGCACAAGCGGAGGAGCAUGUGGUUUAAUUCGAUGAUACGCGAGGAACCUUACCUGGGCUCGAACGUAAGAUGACUGUAGGUGAAAGCUUACAUCUCUUCGGAGCAUUUUACGAGGUGCUGCAUGGUUGUCGUCAGCUCGUGCCGUGAGGUGUCGGGUUAAGUCCCAUAACGAGCGCAACCCCUACCUUUAGUUGCCAUCAGGUAAUGCUGGGGACUCUAAAGGAACUGCCUACGCAAGUAGUGAGGAAGGCGGGGAUGACGUCAAAUCAGCACGGCCCUUACGUCCAGGGCUACACACGUGCUACAAUGGCCGAUACAGAGGGCAGCUACCUGGUGACAGGAUGCAAAUCUCCAAAAUCGGUCUCAGUUCGGAUCGGAGUCUGCAACCCGACUCCGUGAAGUUGGAUUCGCUAGUAAUCGUGCAUCAGCCAUGGCGCGGUGAAUACGUUCCCGGGCCUU
This 501-nucleotide ribosomal RNA is filed under the name uncultured Sphingobacteriales bacterium. Its description in RNAcentral is "bacterial SSU rRNA". It matches the Rfam family "Bacterial small subunit ribosomal RNA", at positions 903 to 1382 of the family's 1533-position model. The record is from RNAcentral. Lineage: Bacteria; Pseudomonadati; Bacteroidota; Sphingobacteriia; Sphingobacteriales.